GUCUAUGGCCAUACCACCCUGAACGUGCCCGAUCUCGUCUGAUCUCGGAAGCUAAGCAGGGUCGGGCCUGGUUAGUACUUGGAUGGGAGAAAUCUAAGAGAUAAAUAAGGGAAAGGAGGUACAGGGAUA
RNAcentral lists this ribosomal RNA (129 nucleotides) under Panthera tigris altaica (Amur tiger). The record is from RNAcentral. Lineage: Eukaryota; Metazoa; Chordata; Mammalia; Carnivora; Felidae.